UUUAAAGUCUAAUCUGCCCCAUGAGAAGUUAAAUGGCCGCGGUACUUUGACCGUGCAAAGGUAGCAUAAUAAUUAGUUUUUUAAUUGAAAGCUGGAAUGAAUGAUUGGACGAGAAAAUGACUGUCUCAAUUUAAUUUUUUUUUGAAUUUUAUUUUUAAGUAAGAAAGCUUAAAUUUUAUUAAAAGACGAGAAGACCCUAUAGAGUUUUAUAGUUAAUUUAUUAUUAAUUUUUAAGUAUUAUUUUAUUAAUAUUAAAUUGAAUAUUUUAUUGGGGUGAUAGAAAAAUAUUAUUAACUUUUUUUAUGUUUAUACCAUUAAUUUAUGAUUAAAUGAUCCAUAUUUUAUGAUUAUAAGAAUAAGUUACCUUAGGGAUAACAGCGUAAUUUUUUUUAAGAGUUCUUAUCGAAAGAAAAGAUUGCGACCUCGAUGUUGGAUUAAAAUAAAUGUUUGGUGUAGAAGCUAAAUAAUUAGGUCUGUUCGACCUUUAAAAUUUUACA
Molecule: ribosomal RNA, 497 nt
Filed under: Maladera orientalis
Lineage: Eukaryota; Metazoa; Arthropoda; Insecta; Coleoptera; Scarabaeidae
Description: partial 16S large subunit ribosomal RNA
Rfam family: Bacterial large subunit ribosomal RNA
Source: RNAcentral